GAUGGGGUCAUCAAUGGGUAGCAUGUUUGCCUAAAAUGCAUGAAGUCCUGGGUUCAAACCCCAGCACCCUCA
This 72-nucleotide transfer RNA is filed under the name Cricetulus griseus (Chinese hamster). It matches the Rfam family "tRNA". Rfam says of the family: Transfer RNA (tRNA) molecules are approximately 80 nucleotides in length. Their secondary structure includes four short double-helical elements and three loops (D, anti-codon, and T loops). The record is from Rfam by way of RNAcentral. Lineage: Eukaryota; Metazoa; Chordata; Mammalia; Rodentia; Cricetidae.